GCAUAUCAAUAAGCGGAGGAAAAGAAACCAACAGGGAUUGCCUCAGUAACGGCGAGUGAAGCGGCAACAGCUCAAAUUUGAAAUCUGGCCCUAGGCCCGAGUUGUAAUUUGCAGAGGAUGCUUUUGGUGCGGUGCCUUCCAAGUUCCCUAGAACGGGACGCCAGAGAGGGUGAGAGCCCCGUACAGUUGGACACCAAGCCUUUGUAAAGCUCCUUCGACGAGUCGAGUAGUUUGGGAAUGCUGCUCAAAAUGGGAGGUAUAUUUCUUCUAAAGCUAAAUACCGGCCAGAGACCGAUAGCGCACAAGUAGAGUGAUCGAAAGAUGAAAAGCACUUUGAAAAGAGGGUUAAACAGCACGUGAAAUUGUUAAAAGGGAAGCGCUUGUGACCAGACUUGCGUCCGGUGAAUCACCCAGCUCUCGCGGCUGGGGCACUUCGCCGGCUCAGGCCAGCAUCAGCUCGCUGUCGGGGACAAAAGCUUCGGGAACGUAGCUCUCUUCGGGGAGUGUUAUAGCCUGUUGCACAAUACCCUUCGGCGGGCUGAGGUACGCGCUCCGCAAGGAUGCUGGCAUAAUGGUCAUCAGCGACCCGUCUUGAAACACGGACCAAGGAGUCAACCUUAUGUGC
This 625-nucleotide ribosomal RNA is filed under the name Colletotrichum gloeosporioides. Its description in RNAcentral is "LSU rRNA". It matches the Rfam family "Eukaryotic large subunit ribosomal RNA", at positions 38 to 687 of the family's 3401-position model. Lineage: Eukaryota; Fungi; Ascomycota; Sordariomycetes; Glomerellales; Glomerellaceae. The record is from RNAcentral.